This 389-nucleotide ribosomal RNA is filed under the name Rhodococcus erythropolis. RNAcentral's name for it is "bacterial SSU rRNA". It matches the Rfam family "Bacterial small subunit ribosomal RNA", at positions 388 to 789 of the family's 1533-position model. The record is from RNAcentral. Lineage: Bacteria; Bacillati; Actinomycetota; Actinomycetes; Mycobacteriales; Nocardiaceae.
GCAGCGACGCCGCGUGAGGGAUGACGGCCUUCGGGUUGUAAACCUCUUUCAGCAGGGACGAAGCGCAAGUGACGGUACCUGCAGAAGAAGCACCGGCUAACUACGUGCCAGCAGCCGCGGUAAUACGUAGGGUGCAAGCGUUGUCCGGAAUUACUGGGCGUAAAGAGUUCGUAGGCGGUUUGUCGCGUCGUUUGUGAAAACCAGCAGCUCAACUGCUGGCUUGCAGGCGAUACGGGCAGACUUGAGUACUGCAGGGGAGACUGGAAUUCCUGGUGUAGCGGUGAAAUGCGCAGAUAUCAGGAGGAACACCGGUGGCGAAGGCGGGUCUCUGGGCAGUAACUGACGCUGAGGAACGAAAGCGUGGGUAGCGAACAGGAUUAGAUACCCUG